AACGAACGCUGGCGGCAUGCCUAACACAUGCAAGUCGAACGAGACCUUCGGGUCUAGUGGCGCACGGGUGCGUAACGCGUGGGAACCUGCCCUUAGGUUCGGAAUAACUCCCCGAAAGGGGUGCUAAUACCGGUUAAUGUCUUCGGACCAAAGAUUUAUCGCCUUUGGAUGGGCCCGCGUUGGAUUCGCUAGUUGGUAGGGUAAAAGCCUACCAAGGCGACGAUCCAUAGCUGGUCUGAGAGGAUGAUCAGCCACACUGGGACUGAGACACGGCCCAGACUCCUACGGGAGGCAGCAGUGGGGAAUAUUGGACAAUGGGCGAAAGCCUGAUCCAGCAAUGCCGCGUGAGUGAUGAAGGCCUUAGGGUUGUAAAGCUCUUUUACCCGGGAUGAUAAUGACAGUACCGGGAGAAUAAGCUCCGGCUAACUCCGUG
RNAcentral lists this ribosomal RNA (433 nucleotides) under uncultured bacterium. RNAcentral's name for it is "partial 16S ribosomal RNA". It matches the Rfam family "Bacterial small subunit ribosomal RNA", at positions 29 to 507 of the family's 1533-position model. The record is from RNAcentral.